RNAcentral lists this ribosomal RNA (400 nucleotides) under uncultured archaeon. RNAcentral describes it as "bacterial SSU rRNA". It matches the Rfam family "Archaeal small subunit ribosomal RNA", at positions 92 to 473 of the family's 1478-position model. The record is from RNAcentral.
AGUAACACGUGGCUAACCUGCCCUUGAGACAGGGACAACCCCGGGAAACUGGGGAUAAUCCCUGAUAGAUGAGGACUCCUGGAAUGGAUCUUCGUUGAAAAGAUGCCUAGUGCAUGCUUCUAAGCAUUGCUCAAGGAUGGAGCCGCGGCCGAUCAGGUUGUUGGUGAGGUAACGGCUCACCAAGCCUUUAACCGGUACGGGCCGUGGGAGCGGUAGCCCGGAGAUGGGCACUGAGAUAAGGGCCCAGGCCCUACGGGGCGCAGCAGUCGCGCAAACUCUGCAAUGCACGAAAGUGUGACAGGGCUAUCCCGAGUGCCGUCCGCUGAGGACGGCUUUUCCACGCUGUAAGGAGGCGUGGGAAUAAGGAGAGGGNCAGACUGGUGUCAGCCGCCCGCGGUAA